UAUUGAUGAAUUUUACAUUCCCAAAAAAUUGCAUAUAAACAGUGAAUAUAAUGUAGGCCUUAACCCACUGUUCCUAGGCCGUCAUUGAAAAUAAGAAUUUGUUCUUAACUGACUUGCCUAGUGAAAUAAAAGGUAAAAAAUACAUUUUUAAAAAGUCAUCUUGUGCUGCUAAAAACUCUGGGUUUAAAAUGGUGCUGUUCGCACAUAUUUUAGGAGUUGAGAAAUAAAUAAAGUAGGUUUUGGAAAGUUGGGAUUCCCCCUCUAACAAAAGGCAAAUACAACUGCUUGUCAUAAUGCAUGUUUCCCUCCCCAUGACACACUUGAAUGCUCCACAAGAGGAAUGGUUCACUCCCACAGAACAAGUUAUGUAAAUAGGUGAACUAUUCCAGUGGUAAUCAAAGUUGGGGUCGCGACCCCUACUGGGGUCUGCAGUGGGGUCGCCAAAUACAUUUUUGUACCCCCCCCCCAAAAAGAGUACAGAUUAUUAUAUGGGACAAUAAAACAUUUGAGAAAGAUAAUCUAAAACAAUACUAUUCUAUUGAGUAAAUGUAUGGCUUUAUUUUCUUAAAUAAACCAAUAUAUUUCUUAACAUUCAAUUCAAUUCAUUUGUUUAUUUAUGUAACAAAAAAUAAAAAUCUACAUUUAGAGUUUAAAGGUUGUGUCAUUAUAUUUGGGCUCGUGAGAAUUGGCGGGGGGAAAAAAAUGGGGGGAAAAAAAUUGAAGACAACUGUGGUACUUUGUUACUCGUUUUGUUUUCAAAGGGGGAAAAACAAUGUGGACUGCUCUAGCAUCUUCAAAGUGGGCUUCAGGCAGAAAUAUUUUUCCAAGUUACAUAUUCAUUUGCCGUGACUAAUGAUUUUGCCGUGGCGCAACUACGUUGUAAGGAAUAUCCACUUGGAAGCCAUAGGAACUGUACAACCACACUUUGGAUCGGCUCUCUGGAUACUUGGCUCUCUGCUGUUUGCCACUAAUGGCUAAAAACCACAACUUGGAAGAAAAAAAAAAAAAAAAAAAAAAAUCACAUGACUUUUUGAAACUGUAUUCCAAGACCAGUCAGGCUUCUCUAACAAAGCACAAUUGCACAAGUUUCCUACAGCACUGGAAAGAAGACUCCACACACAUCAACAGAUAAAACACCAAAUUACAAGCUUGCAUAUUUAUUGCACUACUUCUAAAAUUGCCAAAGUAAAGUACAUGGGAUACUGUAAGUUAAGCGCAUCAGAAUGGAAGACAAAAGACAACUAAAGUGGGC
This is a long non-coding RNA of Oncorhynchus tshawytscha (Chinook salmon), 1252 nucleotides long. NCBI's taxonomy places the organism in Eukaryota, Metazoa, Chordata, Actinopteri, Salmoniformes, Salmonidae. The record is from Ensembl.